GAUGAACGCUGGCGGCGUGCCUAAUACAUGCAAGUCGAGCGAACAGACGAGGAGCUUGCUCCUCUGACGUUAGCGGCGGACGGGUGAGUAACACGUGGAUAACCUACCUAUAAGACUGGGAUAACUUCGGGAAACCGGAGCUAAUACCGGAUAAUAUAUUGAACCGCAUGGUUCAAUAGUGAAAGACGGUUUUGCUGUCACUUAUAGAUGGAUCCGCGCCGCAUUAGCUAGUUGGUAAGGUAACGGCUUACCAAGGCGACGAUGCGUAGCCGACCUGAGAGGGUGAUCGGCCACACUGGAACUGAGACACGGUCCAGACUCCUACGGGAGGCAGCAGUAGGGAAUCUUCCGCAAUGGGCGAAAGCCUGACGGAGCAACGCCGCGUGAGUGAUGAAGGUCCUCGGAUCGUAAAACUCUGUUAUUAGGGAAGAACAAAUGUGUAAGUAACUAUGCACGUCUUGACGGUACCUAAUCAGAAGGCCGCGGCUAACUACGUG
This 497-nucleotide ribosomal RNA is filed under the name uncultured bacterium. Its description in RNAcentral is "partial 16S ribosomal RNA". It matches the Rfam family "Bacterial small subunit ribosomal RNA", at positions 28 to 507 of the family's 1533-position model. The record is from RNAcentral.